Mustela lutreola (European mink) is the source of this 713-nucleotide long non-coding RNA. RefSeq lists it as uncharacterized. The transcript is spliced from 3 exons. Lineage: Eukaryota; Metazoa; Chordata; Mammalia; Carnivora; Mustelidae. The record is from RefSeq and is a predicted model, not a curated record.
GCGCGUUGAGUUCUUGAGGUGUGGUAUGGAGCUGGGCGUUUUGCUGAAGCCAGUAAUCUUGUGGUGAGCGACUUUGAGGGGAAGAUGACAAAAAGGGCGGCCGGAGGUGUGGGGGCCUUGAGUCAAACAGGUCGCCGCGAGAUGGGGGACUUCAGGAGGCUGCUUCACUCGCCUGAGGCAGGACCUCUGUCCGCCUACACACACCUCCUCACGUCUUUUCCCCGGCGAUUCAGAGACAGAAACAACCCUCCCGAGCUCUGACGCGCUUCCGCGUCCCACCAGCUGCACUUUAUGCCCACCGCUGCCUUUCAUAAUUGUAUCCUCCUCCCCCUCAUCAGUAUUAGAAACUUUACAUCUGCUCUUGACUGUGGAAGAUGUCUCCGCAGCAACUGGUGAGCGUCCCACACCUCACAAUCUGAAUCCAGAACGUCCCUCAUCAAGAAAGAGGAUGCUGCUGUCCUAAUCUUCCCGAGUGGGAUGUAGUGAAGGUCACGUGGAGAUCGGAAGCUCUGUAUAAAGCAACACAAAAAUUGAAGACUUUGAAACCCUGGACUGUGGCAGAACUUGGGUUCUUGAGGCACACAUGGAAGGCUACUCAGUGAACACAGGACUGUUACAUAUGAACAAAAGACCAAAAGUUUGAUAACUCAGUUGGCAAGGCUAUGGGGAAAUAGACACUCUCAUAUAUCAAUCAUGAGAGGAAGAAGAAUCUG